CUUAACACAAGUUGAGUAGGGAAAGUUUUUCGGUGUAGGAUGAGACUAUAUAGUAUCAGCUAGUUGGUAAGGUAAUGGCUUACCAAGGCUAUGACGCUUAACUGGUCUGAGAGGAUGAUCAGUCACACUGGAACUGAGACACGGUCCAGACUCCUACGGGAGGCAGCAGUAGGGAAUAUUGCGCAAUGGGGGAAACCCUGACGCAGCAACGCCGCGUGGAGGAUGACACUUUUCGGAGCGUAAACUCCUUUUCUUAGGGAAGAAUUCUGACGGUACCUAAGGAAUAAGCACCGGCUAACUCCGUGCCAGCAGCCGCGGUAAUACGGAGGGUGCAAGCGUUACUCGGAAUCACUGGGCGUAAAGGGCGCGUAGGCGGAUUAUCAAGUCUCUUGUGAAAUCUAAUGGCUUAACCAUUAAACUGCUUGGGAAACUGAUAGUCUAGAGUGAGGGAGAGGUAGAUGGAAUUGGUGGUGUAGGGGUAAAAUCCGUAGAUAUCACCAAGAAUACCCAUUGCGAAGGCGAUCUGCUGGAACUCAACUGACGCUAAGGCGCGAAAGCGUGGGGAGCAAACAGGAUUAGAUACCCUGGUAGUCCACGCCCUAAACGAUGUACACUAGUUGUUGGGAUGCUAGUCAUCUCAGUAAUGCAGCUAACGCAUUAAGUGUACCGCCUGGGGAGUACGGUCGCAAGAUUAAAACUCAAAGGAAUAGACGGGGACCCGCACAAGCGGUGGAGCAUGUGGUUUAAUUCGAAGAUACGCGAAGAACCUUACCUGGGCUUGAUAUCCUAAGAACCUUAUAGAGAUAUGAGGGUGCUAGCUUGCUAGAACUUAGAGACAGGUGCUGCACGGCUGUCGUCAGCUCGUGUCGUGAGAUGUUGGGUUAAGUCCCGCAACGAGCGCAACCCACGUAUUUAGUUGCUAACGGUUCGGCCGAGCACUCUAAAUAGACUGCCUUCGUAAGGAGGAGGAAGGUGUGGACGACGUCAAGUCAUCAUGGCCCUUAUGCCCAGGGCGACACACGUGCUACAAUGGCAUAUACAAUGAGACGCAAUACCGCGAGGUGGAGCAAAUCUAUAAAAUAUGUCCCAGUUCGGAUUGUUCUCUGCAACUCGAGAGCAUGAAGCCGGAAUCGCUAGUAAUCGUAGAUCAGCCAUGCUACGGUGAAUACGUUCCCGGGUCUUGUACUCACCGCCCGUCACACCAUGGGAGUUGAUUUCACUCGAAGCCGGAAUACUAAACUAGUUACCGUCCACAGUGGAAUCAGCGACUGGGGUGAAGUCGUAACAAGGUAACCGUAGGAGAACCUGCGGUUGGAUCACCUCCUUUCUA
This 1330-nucleotide ribosomal RNA is filed under the name Campylobacter jejuni. RNAcentral describes it as "bacterial SSU rRNA". It matches the Rfam family "Bacterial small subunit ribosomal RNA", at positions 182 to 1533 of the family's 1533-position model. The record is from RNAcentral. Lineage: Bacteria; Pseudomonadati; Campylobacterota; Epsilonproteobacteria; Campylobacterales; Campylobacteraceae.